This 21-nucleotide microRNA is filed under the name Hydra vulgaris (swiftwater hydra). RNAcentral's name for it is "hma-miR-3004". Lineage: Eukaryota; Metazoa; Cnidaria; Hydrozoa; Anthoathecata; Hydridae. The record is from miRBase by way of RNAcentral.
AACUAUUUGUUUUGGUCUUGG